RNAcentral lists this ribosomal RNA (301 nucleotides) under uncultured bacterium. RNAcentral's name for it is "partial 16S ribosomal RNA". It matches the Rfam family "Bacterial small subunit ribosomal RNA", at positions 509 to 808 of the family's 1533-position model. The record is from RNAcentral.
CAGUCGCCGCGGGAAUACGGAGGGGGCUAGCGUUGUUCGGAAUUACUGGGCGUAAAGCGCACGUAGGCGGCUUUGUAAGUUAGAGGUGAAAGCCCGGAGCUCAACUCCGGAAUUGCCUUUAAGACUGCAGAGCUAGCAGGUGAGAGAGGUGAGUGGAAUUCCGAGUGUAAAGGUGAAAUUCGUAGAUAUUCGGAAGAACACCAGUGGCGAAGGCGGCUCACUGGCUCAUACUGGACGCUGAGGUGCGAAAGCGUGGGGAACAAACAGGAUUAGAUACCCAGUAGUCCCUGUCUCUUAUACC